This 216-nucleotide ribosomal RNA is filed under the name Glomeromycotina sp. RNAcentral's name for it is "partial small subunit ribosomal RNA". The stretch from base 76 to 216 matches the Rfam family "Eukaryotic small subunit ribosomal RNA", at positions 722 to 864 of the family's 1831-position model. The record is from RNAcentral. Lineage: Eukaryota; Fungi; Glomeromycota.
GGGUCAGUAGGUUGGUCGUGCCACCGGUACGUACUGGUCUCACUGAUUCCUCCCUCCUGAAGAACCGUAAUGCCGUUAAUUUGGUGUUGCGGGGAAACAGGACUGUUACUUUGAAAAAAUUAGAGUGUUUAAAGCAAGCUAACGCUUGAAUACAUUAGCAUGGAAUAAUGAAAUAGGACGAUCGAUCCUAUUUUGUUGGUUUCUAGGAUUGACGUA